AUGGGCGACUGGAUUAUAGGAGCGUUGAUCAAUAUUGUGGGUAGUGUUGCCAUAAACUUUGGUACUAAUCUUCUCAAAUUGGGCCAUGAUCAGAGAGAAAAGCUCUACUCAAGUAACAAUCAAGGCGAUGGCAAAUUCGUCCCAAAAUCAGUUAUGUAUUUUCAGACUUGGAGAAUAGGUAUACUCUUUUUCGCUGUGGGGAACUGCCUAAACUUCAUGUCCUUUGCAUAUGCCGCACAGUCACUUCUUGCAGCUCUUGGAUCAAUUCAGUUUGUAUCCAAUAUUGCAUUUGCCUACGUUGUGUUGAACAAGACCAUUUCAGUGAAGGUCAUGGUAGCCACAACUUUUAUUGUCUUUGGCAAUGUCUUCUUAGUUUCCUUCGGCAAUCACCAAUCUCCUGUUUAUACUCCGGAGCAGCUGAUUGCGAAAUACAGCAACUUGGUCUUUGUUCUCUAUUGUAUGUCAUUGGUCUUUGUUGUUGCACUCAGUCAAUAUCUCUAUAGGAGUGGAGAGACAAUUCUUUCAGAUAAUGCAAAAGAUACUAGCACACAUUGGCGAACACUGCUGCCCUUUUCUUACGCUAUUGUAUCUGGUGCCAUUGGAUCUUGCUCCGUCUUGUUUGCGAAAUCAUUGUCUAACAUGCUGAGGCUGACCAUGAGCAGCAGAUACCAAUUCCACAGCUGGUUCACAUACUCAAUUCUUCUGUUAUUUCUCUGUACAGCUGGAUUUUGGAUGGCGAGACUGAAUGAAGGACUGUCUCUGUUUGAUGCAAUACUGAUUGUCCCAAUGUUUCAGAUUGCAUGGACUUUCUUCUCUAUUUGUACAGGAUUUGUUUACUUUCAAGAGUAUCAAGUGUUUGAUACACUCAGGAUAAUAAUGUUCAUGCUGGGCAUGACAUUUGUCUUCAUAGGCAUAUCCUUGCUAGCACCUGAUGAAAAUAAAGUAGCUGACACCAAAGAUGGCUCUAACGCCACAAAGGACGCGGCAAUUGAUAUGAACAGUGAAGCACAUGUAUCAGGAAAUUGCAGGCCAAGAAAGUUGCCGAUGGAGGAGACGGAAGUAGAUGAUAUGGACUCACUCUCAACCUCAGUAAAAGUGAAAGCAAAACGCAUAUUGUCGAGAGCAAAGUCGGCUUGCUCCAUGUCACUUGGCCUUGGGGAGGAGACCAUCAGCGCUUCUUCGGUGCUUGCAAUGCCAAUGGUUUCCUCGAGAACAACAGGGUUUAGGGGAAUUCAAACUGACCGAUCAAAGUACAUUCCCCUGCGGUCCACUGAUUGGGAUAAUCUAUAG
RNAcentral lists this ribosomal RNA (1290 nucleotides) under Triticum aestivum (bread wheat). RNAcentral's name for it is "partial small subunit ribosomal RNA". Lineage: Eukaryota; Viridiplantae; Streptophyta; Magnoliopsida; Poales; Poaceae. The record is from RNAcentral.